UACGUAGGGGGCUAGCGUUGUCCGGAAUCAUUGGGCGUAAAGAGCGUGUAGGCGGUCCGGUAAGUCCGCUGUGAAAGUCGGGGGCUCAACCCUCGAAAGCCGGUGGAUACUGUCGGGCUAGAGUACGGAAGAGGCAAGUGGAAUUCCUGGUGUAGCGGUGGAAUGCGCAGAUAUCAGGAGGAACACCUAUAGCGAAGGCAGCUUGCUGGGACGUUACUGACGCUAAGGCGCGAAAGCGUGGGGAGCGAACAGG
This 253-nucleotide ribosomal RNA is filed under the name uncultured bacterium. Its description in RNAcentral is "partial 16S ribosomal RNA". It matches the Rfam family "Bacterial small subunit ribosomal RNA", at positions 524 to 776 of the family's 1533-position model. The record is from RNAcentral.